Molecule: non-coding RNA, 689 nt
Filed under: Pongo abelii (Sumatran orangutan)
Lineage: Eukaryota; Metazoa; Chordata; Mammalia; Primates; Hominidae
Source: RNAcentral
CAGGAGCCGCGCCGGCCGGGAGUUGGGUGGGCUCGGGGACAGGCGCGCUCGCGCCGCCCGCUCCAGCUGGGCUAGUGCUGCACAUUCCGGCCAGCCCCUCCUCAAGACCCCAUUCCCAAGCCCCUUCUCAGCUCCCUCGGGCCGGCAGAGCGGCUCUGAUCAGAGUCUUGCUCAGUCGCCCAGGCUGAAGUACAGUGGCACGAUCUCAGCUCACUGCAGCCUCCAUCCCCCAGGUUCAAGCGAUUCUCCUGCCUCAGCCUCCCGAGUAGCUAGGACUACAGAGCACCAUGGCCUGGCAAGGUCCGACGUUUUCCAAGGAUCCUGGCUGAGCUCCUGUGGAAGCUGCUCCUUACACUGAUGUGGUCCCUCGGCUGGCAGGCCCUUCUGCGGCCAACCAGGUGACACCUGCCAGUUAUGAGGGACAGGUAGGAGAGGAUGAUGGGCUUUCCGUCAAAAAAAAAAAAAAAAAAAAAAGAGGUAAGUUUUUCCAACUGCUUUUCUUUCAUUCAAAUUUUAAUCUUAAGACUAACAUACAUUAAUUUCUUAUUUUUAUCUCAUAAAGUCCAGAAUUUCUGAUAAUUUCAGUUCUUUUCCAGAGUGCAAAGAAGCAAAUUGGCUCUUCAGGUAUUAUGUUUAACAUUUUGCAGGAAUUGCUUUACUCUAUAGAUAAACUACAAAUUUGAGACUUA